Molecule: ribosomal RNA, 253 nt
Filed under: uncultured bacterium
Lineage: Bacteria
Description: partial 16S ribosomal RNA
Rfam family: Bacterial small subunit ribosomal RNA
Source: RNAcentral
UACGUUGGUGGCUAGCGUUGUCCGGAUUUACUGGGCGUAAAGAGCGCGCAGGCGGUCGUUCAAGUCGAGUGUGAAAGCCCCCGGCUCAACUGGGGAGGGUCACUCGAUACUGAUCGACUCGAAGGCAGGAGAGGGUAGUGGAAUUCCCGGUGUAGUGGUGAAAUGCGUAGAUAUCGGGAGGAACACCAGUGGCGAAGGCGACUACCUGGCCUGUUCUUGACGCUGAGGCGCGAAAGCUAGGGGAGCAAACGGG